RNAcentral lists this ribosomal RNA (415 nucleotides) under uncultured microorganism. RNAcentral's name for it is "bacterial SSU rRNA". It matches the Rfam family "Bacterial small subunit ribosomal RNA", at positions 9 to 420 of the family's 1533-position model. The record is from RNAcentral.
GAGUUUGAUCGUGGCUCAGAUUGAACGCUGGCGGCAUGCCUUACACAUGCAAGUCGAACGGCAGCAUGAUCUAGCUUGCUAGAUUGAUGGCGAGUGGCGAACGGGUGAGUAAUACAUCGGAACGUGCCCUGUAGUGGGGGAUAACUAGUCGAAAGAUUAGCUAAUACCGCAUACGACCUGAGGGUGAAAGUGGGGACCGCAAGGCCUCAUGCUAUAGGAGCGGCCGAUGUCUGAUUAGCUAGUUGGUGGGGUAAAGGCCCGACCAAGGCGACGAUCAGUAGCUGGUCUGAGAGGACGAUCAGCCACACUGGGACUGAGACACGGCCCAGACUCCUACGGGAGGCAGCAGUGGGGAAUUUUGGACAAUGGGCGAAAGCCUGAUCCAGCAAUGCCGCGUGUGUGAAGAAGGCCUCGG